This 207-nucleotide ribosomal RNA is filed under the name uncultured bacterium. RNAcentral's name for it is "partial 16S ribosomal RNA". It matches the Rfam family "Bacterial small subunit ribosomal RNA", at positions 568 to 774 of the family's 1533-position model. The record is from RNAcentral.
CACGUAGGCGGUUUCGUAAGUCGGAUGUGAAAGCCCUAGGCUUAACCAAGGAAGUGCAUUCGAAACUGUGAGACUUGAGUACGGGAGAGGGCUGUGGAAUUCCCGGUGUAGAGGUGAAAUUCGUAGAUAUCGGGAGGAACACCAGAGGCGAAGGCGACAGCCUGGACCGAUACUGACGCUGAGGUGCGAAAGCGUGGGGAGCAAACA